Molecule: ribosomal RNA, 506 nt
Filed under: uncultured bacterium
Lineage: Bacteria
Description: partial 16S ribosomal RNA
Rfam family: Bacterial small subunit ribosomal RNA
Source: RNAcentral
AGUGAACGCUGGCGGUAGGCCUAACACAUGCAAGUCGAACGGCAGCACAGGAGAGCUUGCUCUCUGGGUGGCGAGUGGCGGACGGGUGAGGAAUACAUCGGAAUCUACUCUGUCGUGGGGGAUAACGUAGGGAAACUUACGCUAAUACCGCAUACGACCUACGGGUGAAAGCAGGGGACCUUCGGGCCUUGCGCGAUUGAAUGAGCCGAUGUCGGAUUAGCUAGUUGGCGGGGUAAAGGCCCACCAAGGCGACGAUCCGUAGCUGGUCUGAGAGGAGGGUCAGCCACACUGGAACUGAGACACGGUCCAGAAUCCUACGGGAGGCAGCAGUGGGGAAUAUUGGACAAUGGGCGCAAGCCUGAUCCAGCCAUACCGCGUGGGUGAAGAAGGCCUUCGGGUUGUAAAGCCCUUUUGUUGGGAAAGAAAUCCAGCUGGCUAAUACCCGGUUGGGAUGACGGUACCCAAAGAAUAAGCACCGGCUAACUUCGUGCCAGCAGCCGCGGUAA